UGAACGAGAUAGUUGUAGCAAUAAGACAUGAAAAGUGACGCCACGGGGCGUACCACGUAGCAAUAUACCUCUGAAUGGGGGAUAGGUUCGAGAAAUAGGAAUUAAUACCCCAUAACAUAAUGAAUAGCAUCAUUUGAUUAUCAAACCUCCGGGGAUCAGAGAUGAGCAUGCGCAACAUUAGCUAGUUGGUAAGGUAAUGGCUUACCAAGGCUACAAUGUUUAGGGGGUCUGAGAGGAUGAUCCCCCACACUUGGUAACUGAGACACGGACCAGACUCCUACGGGAGGCAGCAGUAGGGAAUAUUGGUCAAUGGAGGCAACUCUGAACCAGCCAUGCCGCGUGCAGGAUGACGGCCCUCUGGGUUGUAAACUGCUUUUAUACGGGAAGAAAAAAUGCUACGUGUAGCACAUUGACGGUACCGUAAGAAUAAGGAUCGGCUAACUCCGUGCCAGCAGCCGCGGUAAUACGGAGGAUCCAAGCGUUGUCCGGAUUUAUUGGGUUUAAAGGGUGCGUAGGCGGAUCUUUAAGUCAGUGGAGAAAGCCUGCAGCUCAACUGUAGAACAGCCAUUGAAACUGAAGAUCUUGAAUUAGGUUAAAGUAGGCGGAAUGUAUCAUGUAGCGGUGAAACGCUUAGAUAUGAUACAGAACACCGAUAGCGAAGGCAGCUUGCUGAACCUAUAUUGACGCUGAGGCACGAAAGCGUGGGGAGCGAACAGGAUUAGAUACCCUGGUAGUCCACGCCCUAAACGUUGAUUACUCGUUGUUGGCGAUAUACAGUCAGCGACCAAGCUAAAGCGUUAAGUAAUCCACCUGGGAAGUACGAAAAAGCAAGGUUG
Molecule: ribosomal RNA, 836 nt
Filed under: uncultured bacterium
Lineage: Bacteria
Description: bacterial SSU rRNA
Rfam family: Bacterial small subunit ribosomal RNA
Source: RNAcentral